CCUUGAAAUGGAUACCGACCCAUUUAGACCAAAGAGUGAUGAUGAGAAAUCGUUGGGACCUGAUGUUCCUUACCUUAGCGCUAUUGGAGCACUGAUGUACCUUGCAAAUUGCACCAGGCCUGAUAUUGCAUUCGCGGUAAAUCUACUAGCUAGAUACAGUGCAGACCCAACCAGAAGACAUUGGGUAGGUGUUAAGACUAUACUUAGAUACCUCAAAGGCACUCAAGAUCUUGGCCUGUUUUUUCCGAAGAAUCAGGACCAGACUAUGGUGGGCUAUGCUGAUGCUGGAUAUCAGUCAGAUCCCCAUAAUGGUAUAUCUCAGACUGGCUUUGUAUUUCUAUGUGGUGGCACUGCUGUAUCCUGGAGAUCGUGCAAACAUACAUUAGUAACAACGUCUACUAACCACUCAGAAAUAAUCUCACUAUAAGAAGCCGCACGAGAAGUCAUGUGGUUAUAACACCGCAAAUACCCCCACCAUUAUCUAUGAAGAUAAUGCUGCAUGUGUUGCACAAAUGGAAACGGGCUAUAUUAAGAGCAAUAUGACUAAGCAUAUAUGUCCUAAGUAUUUUUAUCCUCAUGAACUCCAGAACGAGGGUGAGGUAAAAAUCCUGCAAGUCAAGUCUUGUGAUAAUCUGGCUGAUUUAUUCACCAAAUCCUUACCUGCAGUCACAUUCAGAAAAUGUGUACGAGGUAUAGGGAUGAGGCAUUUGAGAGACCUGCAGGGUUCAGGGGGAGAUCACCUCUGAACUUCAGCCCUUAUAAUUCAACCUGAAGAUCGUAUAUUAUACACCUUGAAGGUUAUAGUUGUCCUGAAGACAUCCGUUGUACUCUUUUUCCCAUUGUGAGUUUUCCUGAAGUUUCUCAUAGAUGGUUUUUAACGAGGCAACAAGUGCAAUACAUCAAGUGACACUAUGCUCUCUUUCUCCAUUUUUUCCCACUGGGUUUUUCGGAGUUUUGAUGAGACAUAAGUCGUCACGGUAUUCGCCCAAGGGGAGUGUUGAGAAACCCUAAAAGGGGUUUAAUGGGCUAAUACCAAAACUGCCCUUAGAGGUACACAGGUUAUAUAUAUGUACCUAUACCCCUCAUAAUAAAGAUAGACAGAAAGAGCUUCCAUCCACUGUGUCUCUUGUUCCUCUCUGUGUUGGGUUGCUGGGAAGGGAACGGGCUUCUAAAACUUCUCACGUCCCUACUGCUGUUGGGAGGGUUCGGAGUCCGGAUCGGGGAUCUGCGAUAACUACGUUGUUUAACACCAUAUACUACCGGCCGGUCUCGGUGAUAUGAUGCUUGCGUCAUUGACCAAGUCAGCUGCCUACGUUCCGAGUUCCAAACGGCCCAUCACGUAAUUUGCAGUGAAAUCAUGAUGCUUGAUGCAAAAUUACGAAUCUGGGAGAUCGAAACUCUUUAUUUCGUUCAUCUGUGAGAAAUUAAAUUGUGGAUCAAGUGUAGAGAGCUUCCCUGUGCUUUCCAGGAACCUUCGUUCCCGCCAUCUGUGAUGUGACCUACUUAUCUAUAGAGAAAACUUUCUAUAUAUCCCUGUAAUAAUUUCUAAUGUAACCUUUUGCACUCCCAUGCUACCAUACAAGGAUAAAAAAAACUAUAUCUAAGUGACAAAAAAAAAGGCCCAAAGUACGUUUUUUUAAGGUAUAGCCCAAAAUAUUAGAACAUUUUAUAUAAAGUACUGUACUGUAUAAAGUACUGUACGGUUGCCCUAACCCUCCAUAAAAAGUAUAUUAGGACAUUUUAUGUAAGGGCUCGUCGCUGCCGUGAGCCGGUGACUGCAGUUUAGAGCCUGAGGCUUGCAGCACGCACACACCAGUCCCCUUCGAGACAAGGAAAGAAGAGAAGAUAGCGAUCUCAUCUGCGAUGGAAGGCAGGAACGGUGCCGGACCGCGACCGGGUCGCCGUCCUCCCGUCUCCGUCGCGUGUCGUAGCUGUCGCCGUGAUGAUCUCGGCCGCCGUCUACCUCCUCUUCGCCGAGAUUCUCGCCGCGCCGCCCGUCUCGCCCGCGUGGUUCCUGGUCGCCUUCGCGCUGUGGAUGUGGAUCGACGACGACACGCGAAGCCGCACAUCCGCUGAUUCAAGUCCGGCACGCAACUAGAGCAUCUCCGCUAGUAGAUGCUGCAAACAGCUCGUGGAUUACGCACGGGAGUAAGUGAGAGAUCCAACCAGUUUCCACGCGGGAAGGAAGACAGAAAUUUGUCAUUCUACUGACCUACGUGAGCUCGACCUGCCUUCUUUCACGCGGCAACCUCCGAUCCGGCAGCGUGCUCCGAGCAGCGUGGCCGGCCGGUUGGCGGUCAUUACAUGGCUUGUUGCCCGGUAUUGGUGUGGUGCAUGUCUGACAAAAAGUUUGUCAAUUAUCAACACAUUAGUUCGAGACUCCAAUUAAGCACAAAUGUGAAUCUAGUGGAAUUCGGUACUAUUAGCAUAUACUUGCAGAGACUGAAAUAUCAAAGCAUUGGCAUUGGCUUGUAGAGUUGUAUACCUAAUAAUAAUGGCUAUGGAGGAGACACGUCAUCACAUGGCACGCACAAGAACAUAAGACACUAGGACUAAAAUUAUGUCUGUCUGUUUGUCUUUAUUCUGAAAUAACCUAGCGCUAUUUUGCAGCUCCACCCCUACAGUAGUAUUCAGAACAGAACUUGUGUGCAACUAUAGAAAAAAACCAACACUACGGAAUGUCGGAAUGUGUGCUUGCAUGCCUGCUGCUGCUGUGGUCCUCUGCUUGUUACAGUUGCCACUUAGCUGCAGAAUGUCAUUGGAUAAUGGAGCUGGUGGUAGCCUUUGUGUACCGAAGCAUAUAUAGGUCAAAUGAUUUGGCUAGCAUUCUGUGUGUUUGUCUCCAAGUCCAAUGUAUAUCUUGCUGACUCUGAUUUCUUAGUUCAAGGCAAUGCAAAGUCUGUCUACUGGAUCAUUAUAAUGGCAUGUGAGCAGACAAAAUCAAAUGAUUAUUUUUA
Long non-coding RNA from Zea mays, 2957 nucleotides. RefSeq lists it as uncharacterized. The record is from RefSeq and is a predicted model, not a curated record. The transcript has 2 exons. Lineage: Eukaryota; Viridiplantae; Streptophyta; Magnoliopsida; Poales; Poaceae.